AUUGAACGCUGGCGGCAGGCCUAACACAUGCAAGUCGAACGGUAACAGGAAACAGCUUGCUGUUUCGCUGACGAGUGGCGGACGGGUGAGUAAUGUCUGGGAAACUGCCUGAUGGAGGGGGAUAACUACUGGAAACGGUAGCUAAUACCGCAUAACGUCGCAAGACCAAAGAGGGGGACCCUCGGGCCUCUUGCCAUCGGAUGUGCCCAGAUGGGAUUAGCUUGUUGGUGGGGUAACGGCUCACCAAGGCGACGAUCCCUAGCUGGUCUGAGAGGAUGACCAGCGACACUGGAACUGAGACACGGUCCAGACUCCUACGGGAGGCAGCAGUGGGGAAUAUUGCACAAUGGGCGCAAGCCUGAUGCAGCCAUGCCGCGUGUAUGAAGAAGGCCUUCGGGUUGUAAAGUACUUUCAGCGGGGAGGAAGGGAGUAAAGUUAAUACCUUCGCGCAUUGACGUUACCCGCAGAAGAAGCACCGGCUAACUCCGUG
This 490-nucleotide ribosomal RNA is filed under the name uncultured bacterium. RNAcentral's name for it is "partial 16S ribosomal RNA". It matches the Rfam family "Bacterial small subunit ribosomal RNA", at positions 30 to 507 of the family's 1533-position model. The record is from RNAcentral.